AACGAACGCUGGCGGCGUGGAUUAGGCAUGCAAGUCGAACGAGAAAGGGCUCGCAAGAACCCGAGUAAAGUGGCGAAAGGGUGAGUAGUACCUAGGUAACCUGCCCUGAAGACGGGGAUAACGUCUCUAACGGGACGCUAAUACCCGAUGUGUCGGCGCGGCCGCAUGGUCGUGCCGGUAAAAGGUAGCCUCUGUUUACAAGCUUCCGCUUCUGGAGGGGCCUCGGGCCUAUCAGUUAGUUGGCGGGGUAACGGCCCACCAAGACUGGGACGGGUAGCCGGUCUGAGAGGAUGGUCGGCCACACUGGGACUGAGACACUGCCCAGACUCCUACGGGAGGCUGCAGUCGAGGAUCUUCUGCAAUGGGCGCAAGCCUGACAGAGCGACGCCGCGUGGGGGAGGAAGGCCUCGGUGUAACCCU
RNAcentral lists this ribosomal RNA (420 nucleotides) under uncultured bacterium. RNAcentral's name for it is "bacterial SSU rRNA". It matches the Rfam family "Bacterial small subunit ribosomal RNA", at positions 28 to 432 of the family's 1533-position model. The record is from RNAcentral.